This 467-nucleotide ribosomal RNA is filed under the name uncultured bacterium. Its description in RNAcentral is "partial 16S ribosomal RNA". It matches the Rfam family "Bacterial small subunit ribosomal RNA", at positions 29 to 507 of the family's 1533-position model. The record is from RNAcentral.
ACGAACGCUGGCGGCGUGCUUAACACAUGCAAGUCGAACGGAAAGGCCCUGCUUUUGUGGGGUGCUCGAGUGGCGAACGGGUGAGUAACACGUGAGUAACCUGCCCUUGACUUUGGGAUAACUUCAGGAAACUGGGGCUAAUACCGGAUAGGAGCUCCUGCUGCAUGGUGGGGGUUGGAAAGUUUCGGCGGUUGGGGAUGGACUCGCGGCUUAUCAGCUUGUUGGUGGGGUAGUGGCUUACCAAGGCUUUGACGGGUAGCCGGCCUGAGAGGGUGACCGGCCACAUUGGGACUGAGAUACGGCCCAGACUCCUACGGGAGGCAGCAGUGGGGAAUAUUGCACAAUGGGCGGAAGCCUGAUGCAGCAACGCCGCGUGCGGGAUGACGGCCUUCGGGUUGUAAACCGCUUUCGCCAGUGACGAAGCGUGAGUGACGGUAAUGGGUAAAGAAGCACCGGCUAACUACGUG